GCUCUUCUAGUUUUCUGAGGUAGAAGCUUAGAUGAUUGAUUUCAAGUCUUUCUUCUUCUCCGUAUUGUAUUCAGUGCUGUCAGUUUCCUGCCAAGCACUGAUUUCACUACAUUACACAAAUUUUGCUAAUCCAAGUCUAACUUCAGACAACACUGUCCUGCUUCACAGUUAGCACAAGUGUAUUACAGCAAAAUAUUAUGAAUCUCUCCCUCCCAUUCUUUGUAUCAUUGCUGUCAUGCAUUUCAUACGCCAUUCAUAUAUAUAAACAUGUAUAAGCAUACAGAAUCAAAUACACAGUUGCUAUUAUUAUUUUGAGCAAACUGUUAUCUGUUAGAUCAA
Delphinapterus leucas (beluga whale) is the source of this 339-nucleotide non-coding RNA. The record is from RefSeq and is a predicted model, not a curated record. NCBI's taxonomy places the organism in Eukaryota, Metazoa, Chordata, Mammalia, Artiodactyla, Monodontidae.